CUCCGAGCUCGCGCACCGGGAGAAAACGUCAAACUCAAAUGGCCUCGAAAGAACCUACGAUCAUAAACCAAAGGGCAAAUCGACACUGCAAUGAUCGGGAACCCCCAAAUAGCGUCCGCAUCAAACACGACGAAGGCCAAAAGGAGUCCAAUAAAUAACCAGUUAAUACCAGAAUGGGUGAGGUAAUAAGCAAUUUCAUUCUCAUUUCAUUGGUGAAGUGUACAUUGC
RNAcentral lists this long non-coding RNA (228 nucleotides) under Elaeis guineensis (African oil palm). Its description in RNAcentral is "long non-coding RNA (EGUI_LNC063343)". Lineage: Eukaryota; Viridiplantae; Streptophyta; Magnoliopsida; Arecales; Arecaceae. The record is from RNAcentral.